This 859-nucleotide ribosomal RNA is filed under the name uncultured fungus. RNAcentral's name for it is "SSU rRNA". It matches the Rfam family "Eukaryotic small subunit ribosomal RNA", at positions 577 to 1465 of the family's 1831-position model. The record is from RNAcentral. Lineage: Eukaryota; Fungi.
CGGUAAUUCCAGCUCCAAUAGCGUAUAUUAAAGUUGUUGUGGUUAAAAAGCUCGUAGUCGAACCUUGGGCCUGGCUGGCCGGUCCCCCUCACCGGGUGCACUGAUCCAGCCGGGCCUUUCCCUCUGUGGAACCCCAUGGCCUUCACUGGCUGUGCGGGGGAAACAGGACUUUUACUGUGAAAAAAUUAGAGUGCUCCAGGCAGGCCUAUGCUCGAAUACAUUAGCAUGGAAUAAUAGAAUAGGACGUGUGGUUCUAUUUUGUUGGUUUCUAGGACCGCCGUAAUGAUUAAUAGGGACAGUCGGGGGCAUCAGUAUUCAGUUGUCAGAGGUGAAAUUCUUGGAUCUACUGAAGACUAACUACUGCGAAAGCAUUUGCCAAGGAUGUUUUCAUUGAUAAGGAACGAAAGUUAGGGGAUCGAAGACGAUCAGAUACCGUCGUAGUCUUAACUAUAAACUAUGCCGACUAGGGAUCGGACGAUGUUAUUAUUUGACGCGUUCGGCACCUUUCGAGAAAUCAAAGUGCUUGGGCUCCAGGGGGAGUAUGGUCGCAAGGCUGAAACUUAAAGAAAUUGACGGAAGGGCACCACCAGGGGUGGAACCUGCGGCUUAAUUUGACUCAACACGGGGAAACUCACCAGGUCCAGACACAGUGAGGAUUGACAGAUUGAGAGCUCUUUCUUGAUUCUGUGGGUGGUGGUGCAUGGCCGUUCUUAGUUGGUGGAGUGAUUUGUCUGCUUAAUUGCGAUAACGAACGAGACCUUAACCUGCUAAAUAGCCCGUACUGCUCUGGCAGUUCGCUGGCUUCUUAGAGGGACUAUCGGCUCAAGCCGAUGGAAGUUUGAGGCAAUAACAGGUCUGU